ACCCUGCAUUGAGGUACAUAUAUGAGCACUCAAGCUAGAAUCUAAUACCUAACUAGAAGUAGAAGAAAUCAUGAGGUUAGAUUCUAUUACGAGCAUACCUUCGAAAGGUUUAUCACCCUUUUUGGUCUUUAGACUCUCUGAAUAUUUCAAGUAGUUCCUCCUCCAGUGGCUUUCAGCAUGACAGUGGAAACACUUUUCCUUUAUCUCAGCUGCCUUUAGACCAUCCUUCUUUGGCUUGCUCUUUCUCUUCUACUUCUUUACGAAUUUAACCUUCUUCCUUCCAGUAGACUUUCUCUCAGAAGAAGAAGUCCACUCCACAGUGAGAACAAUACCCCUUGAACUCUUCAAGGUACCUCCAUUGUGACCAACAUGUUGACAAGUUUGAGAAUAGUGCAGUCAAAUUUGUUCAUAUGAAAAUUCAUGAUAAAUUGACUAUAUGAACUAGAAGAAAUUGAAGGAUUAGAUCCAUCUGUAAUUUCUUUUGUAUAUCAAGCUCGAGCUUCUCAAGCUCCUCAAUAUCCUUAAUCACUAUCAUACAGUGCUCAUGGACAGACUGUUCCUCAUGUAUCUUGAGAUUGAAGAGUCUCUUGGACACUUUGAAGCAUGUAGUACAGCUUUGCUCACCAUAUAACUCUUGUAAGUAAGUGAUCA
This 651-nucleotide long non-coding RNA is filed under the name Elaeis guineensis (African oil palm). RNAcentral describes it as "long non-coding RNA (EGUI_LNC069009)". Lineage: Eukaryota; Viridiplantae; Streptophyta; Magnoliopsida; Arecales; Arecaceae. The record is from RNAcentral.